Molecule: microRNA precursor, 63 nt
Filed under: Ictalurus punctatus (channel catfish)
Lineage: Eukaryota; Metazoa; Chordata; Actinopteri; Siluriformes; Ictaluridae
Also listed under: 2 other names
Description: microRNA ipu-mir-18a precursor
Gene: ipu-mir-18a
Rfam family: mir-17 microRNA precursor family
About the family: This family represents the microRNA (miRNA) precursor mir-17, family, which includes mir-20, mir-91, and mir-103. miRNAs are transcribed as ~70nt precursors (modelled here) and subsequently processed by the Dicer enzyme to give a ~22nt product. In this case the mature sequence comes from the 3' arm of the precursor. The extents of the hairpin precursors are not generally known and are estimated based on hairpin prediction.
Source: miRBase by way of RNAcentral
UAAGGUGCAUCUAGUGCAGAUAGUGAAGUAGACUAGCACCUACUGCCCUAAGUGCUCCUUCUG